This 1230-nucleotide long non-coding RNA is filed under the name Brassica rapa (field mustard). RNAcentral's name for it is "long non-coding RNA (BRAP_LNC005788)". The record is from RNAcentral. Lineage: Eukaryota; Viridiplantae; Streptophyta; Magnoliopsida; Brassicales; Brassicaceae.
UGGGCUUUAGUUUGGGCUUCAAUAGUUUUGCAUUUUUUUCUCUGAUUGCAGGUGAGUUAAACUAUUAUAUAAUGCCUAAAUACUUUUAUAAUUGCAAUUUUAAUUAAUGUGUGUCUUUUCAGUCAUCUUGCUUUUUAAAAACAACUAAUUGUUGAAAGGUUAUAUUUUUCAGUCAUGUAACUAUUUAAAAACACUUAACAUCGAAAGAUUGUGUAUUUUGGACAAUGUGACUAUUGAAACAAGAAAUUUCAUGUUUACUGCUUUCAUGAUACCAUUAUUCAUCUUUACCACCACUAAAGAGAUAUUUUCAAAAAUAUUAUUUUUAUUAAGCGGUGAAAGACUCUUAUAUCAUUGAUCUCUCUCUAUAUAUAAUAAAUAAAAAAUAAAAAAUUGUUUCUUUUUUAUGUUUUCGGAUUAUAUUUUUUUCAAAUUUGAACUUUUUAAUAAUUUUUUUUUAUUUUUUUUAAAUAAAUAUUUUUAUUCUUUUGAAAUUUCUUUUUGAAAAUCAAAAUUAUGUUUGAAACUAUUUUUAAUUUUUUUGUAAAGCUUUUGUUUAUAUAUUUAUUUAAAGUAACAUGAAGCAACCGUCUUUCGUCGUUCACAUAGAUCAAUGUCUCACAGUUUGGUUUACAGAGUCUAUAUGAGUCUGUAUAAUUUGAUGAAAAAAACAUAUACCACCCUUCAACUCUAAAUCCUAAGUGUAGAUUAGUUAAUCCUAAGGGUAUAAAUGUAUUUUACCCUUUAUCAAAAAUAAAGGUAGAAGUGGUUAGUGUAAACCCCUGUUCUAAAAAUCGGCCGCCUAAUCGCUUAGGCGGCCGCCUGGCGCUACGUGUCACUCUUCCGCCACGAUUUAUGCCAAAUUGGUUAAAAAAUCGGAUAUCCGAUUUUCUCCUCCUAGACCGCCAAAAUGAUCGCCUAGCCGCCUAGGCGGACGCCUAAUCUAUUUUUUUAUUUUUAUUUUAUUUUUACUAAUAUUUUUAUUUAUUUAUUUGAUCCAAAGUUUUAUAAAUAUCAUUUAUAUUCAUAAGUUUGAUGAAAAUUACACUAUAUUAAGUUUUAUAUAUUCUAUUUAUGUGUUUUAUACAAUCUUAAACAUGAAAAUGCAUUAAUGUUAUACACAAUUAAAGAUUAACAUGUUUUAUAACAUAGUAAACAAUUUAAAAUUUUUGCCCCGCAUAAUUUUCGAUUAAUCCCUGAUUUUCUCUUCAGACGCUAGGCCCAACCUGACCG